This 657-nucleotide unclassified non-coding RNA is filed under the name Hevea brasiliensis (rubber tree). The record is from RNAcentral. Lineage: Eukaryota; Viridiplantae; Streptophyta; Magnoliopsida; Malpighiales; Euphorbiaceae.
GUAAUUUAUGGAGGUCUCCGUUUAGGGCUGUAUGAACCCUCAAAGCAUGCCUGUGCUUUGUGUUUUGGGUCCACCAAUAUACUGGUCAAGAUUGCAUCAGGUGCAUUUGCUGGUGCAAUUGCAACUGCACUGACCAAUCCUGUUGAAGUUCUGAAGGUUCGGUUGCAGGCGAAUACAAACCCUAGCCCAAGCCAAGGAGGACCAAUUGCAGAAAUGCGUAGAAUUGUUUCUGAAGAGGGAAUAAGAGCUCUCUGGAAGGGGGUUGGCCCUGCUAUGGCCAGAGCUGCUGCUUUGACUGCAUCACAACUGGCAACGUAUGAUGAAACCAAGCGGGUUCUUAUUAGGUGGACACCUCUGGAAGAAGGAUUUCAUCUACACUUGGUCUCAAGUACAGUAGCAGGGACAGUGAGUACCCUUAUAACUGCACCCAUGGAUAUGAUUAAAACCCGCCUCAUGCUGCAACGGGAAUCUAAAAGAGUUCAAAGCUAUAAAAAUGGAUUUCAUUGUGCAUAUCAGGUUAUGCUUACAGAGGGCCCUAGUGCACUUUACAAGGGGGGCUUUGCAAUUUUUGCAAGAUUGGGUCCUCAAACUACAAUCACAUUUAUACUAUGUGAGAAACUGCGCAAGCUUGCCGGAUUGAAUGCCAUCUAGCAGCGG